This 1782-nucleotide long non-coding RNA is filed under the name Gallus gallus (chicken). Lineage: Eukaryota; Metazoa; Chordata; Aves; Galliformes; Phasianidae. The record is from RNAcentral.
UGAAUGCGAAGAACUGGUUCGGUGGCUUGCUUACCUUUGCAUACCCCAGCAUGAUCAUUCGGACCAGCACAACAUUUAUGUGAACGCCCAAGGAUUCAUCGUGGUAAAUUUCAUUCACUAUGUUCAUGAGGGUGAGGAGGUAGUUUUGAACAUGUUCUUUGCCAUGGAACCGGACGACAGAGUCGUCCACACCUAGCAGCACCUCAAUGUUGUAGUCGUCAUCUCCUGCGUGCCUGCGUCGCCUCAGGGUUUCAUUCAGUUGCUGUUCUACACUGCUGUACAGGGAACUCAGGUCUCCAAGGCCCCCAAGAAGAGAUUCUUCAGUGUGGACAUCAGGGAGCAUAUCAGUGAUAUGUUGCACUAUAGCUGAUCGCCUGUACACCAUAUGGAUUCUUCCCUUUUCUUCUUCCAUUUGUUUUCCUCUUUCCAAAGGCUCAAUGAAGUAUUCAUCCUCAUCAGUUCUUAUCAUACCAGCCAGACCAUCACAAUUGCUAAUUGCAACAGAAGCUCCAGGGAUGUCAGUUAUGUCUCCCACGUAAGCGCAGUUGGUCCACAGGGGCUCUCUUUUCCACAACCUCUCCGUAGCAGUUCUAGUCUGACUUGAGUUACCAGCAUCGUUUCCAUUUCCAGUUUCCACAGAGUCUUCGUACCACUCCACAACUGCCUCAGGAGCCACUAAACGAGUGUUGGGUUUCAGCCGGAGAUGGAAUUCCCUUCCAAACGCGGUGACGUUAAAAUACAGCUGUUUGGGGCUCUGGGAUACCUCCCGCGUUGAUCUUCUUUGAUGGCUUGCAGAGAGUACAUUGGAGAUAUAGCUUCCGUCUGCAUUGGUACUAAUUGGAAUCACUAACCCAUACGGCCUUGGUCUGCUUUUUGGUAAUUCUAUUUGGAUCUGUUGUUCUUCACCAGCCUGCCGGCCGGCUGCAGCGCGGGCCCCCAGGAGCGCGGCUGCCACUACCCACAGGGGCAGGAGCACCAUCACGAGCCGGCCGCCCGCGGACCGCCGCCCCGCGCGACCGCACGCUCCCGGCCCCGGCCGCGCUCUUCCUCUCCUCCUCCGUUCGCCUUCUUCUCCGGCUCUCUCUCCCUGCGAGCCCCCGCCUCGGCCGUCCCCGGGCUGCAGCACCCCGCUAGCGCCGGCGCCCCGGGGCCGGCGGCCGGGCGGGCUGGGCGCGAGCGGCGGUGGGGCGGCGAGCGACCGCGCCGCCUCCUGUUGCUCGCUGCGCCCUGCCUGCGCCACGCAUCGCGACCUGCGGCGCUAAUAAAGCCGCACCGGCCCCCGGGCGCGGCCCCGCCUUCGGCACGGCUCGGCACACCGACGUCAGGGCCGCCCAGCCGCCAGCGGCCGCCGGAGCCGCACCUGGGCCGGCCCGGGGCUCCGCCGCCCCCUCACAAAGGACGCGCCCCGAGCGGCCCGCCGAGGGGAGCGGGCGCGGGGCAGGUGCAGCGCGAGCCCGGGCAGCGCCUCAGGCCGCUGACAGGGCCGCAGUCCCGCGCCACAAAGAGCCGCGUCCCGGCCCGGGUGGAAACCCUAACUAACCCCCUCCCAGCGGCCUUCCCCGCGCAAAUCCCGCCGGGAGCUCUCCCUGUCCCGUACGUUCGCCUGGCAGAUGUGACGCCGUUGAGGCUCAGCAAGGAGAAGCCACGAACGGGCGAAAGCGGGGGUAUCCCCAAGGGGAGAAGCGAGCGAAAAGCUUUACGGAUGCUUUUUACUUGUAAACAAAUAUCCAGGGGGGAUAAAGAGCUCCCGCGUUCCUGCACUGCAGCAGUACUCAAAAGACG